Molecule: transfer RNA, 69 nt
Filed under: Microhyla taraiensis
Lineage: Eukaryota; Metazoa; Chordata; Amphibia; Anura; Microhylidae
Description: tRNA-Thr
Rfam family: tRNA
About the family: Transfer RNA (tRNA) molecules are approximately 80 nucleotides in length. Their secondary structure includes four short double-helical elements and three loops (D, anti-codon, and T loops). Further hydrogen bonds mediate the characteristic L-shaped molecular structure. tRNAs have two regions of fundamental functional importance: the anti-codon, which is responsible for specific mRNA codon recognition, and the 3' end, to which the tRNAs corresponding amino acid is attached (by aminoacyl-tRNA synthetases). tRNAs cope with the degeneracy of the genetic code in two manners: having more than one tRNA (with a specific anti-codon) for a particular amino acid; and 'wobble' base-pairing, i.e. permitting non-standard base-pairing at the 3rd anti-codon position.
Source: RNAcentral
GCCCCGGUAGCUUAAACAAAGCAUUGGUCUUGUAAACCAAAGAAUGUGGACUAACACCCACUCAGGGCU